CCUACGGGAGGCAGCAGUGGGGAAUAUUGGGCAAUGGGCGAAAGCCUGACCCAGCAACGCCGCGUGAAGGAAGAAGGCUUUCGGGUUGUAAACUUCUUUUGACAGGGAAGAGCAUAAGACGGUACCUGUCGAAUAAGCCACGGCUAACUACGUGCCAGCAGCCGCGGUAAUACGUAGGUGGCAAGCGUUGUCCGGAUGUACUGGGUGUAAAGGGCGUGUAGCCGGGCUGACAAGUCAGAUGUGAAAUCCGGGGGCUCAACCUCCGUACGGCUUUUGAAACUGUUGGUCUUGAGUAUCAGAGAGGCAGGCAGAAUUCCUGGUGUAGCGGUGAAAUGCGUAGAUAUUAGGAGGAACACCAGUGGCGAAGGCGGUCAGCUGGACGGCAACUGACGCUGAGGCGCGAAAGCGUGGGGAGCAAACAGGAUUAGAUACCCGAGUAGUC
Molecule: ribosomal RNA, 442 nt
Filed under: uncultured bacterium
Lineage: Bacteria
Description: partial 16S ribosomal RNA
Rfam family: Bacterial small subunit ribosomal RNA
Source: RNAcentral